Long non-coding RNA from Brassica napus (rape), 1090 nucleotides. RefSeq lists it as uncharacterized. NCBI's taxonomy places the organism in Eukaryota, Viridiplantae, Streptophyta, Magnoliopsida, Brassicales, Brassicaceae. The transcript is spliced from 3 exons. The record is from RefSeq and is a predicted model, not a curated record.
AAACUAAGAAGUUAUGAAAUCAGGAUAAUCUAAUGCAUGCUAGAGUAUUGUAGUGAUGAUGUUUCAAACUUUCUGUAAGAAUGAAAAUGACGAAAAUUGUUAAAAUGCAUAUAAGUUAAUACACGUGCAAAUGCGAACUUUUAUACCCCUAAUGAAAAACUAAAAACUGUUUGAAAAAAUAUUGACAUAAGUCAUAGACUCAUAGUAUACCACAGUAGAGUAAGCUUAGACCAUGAAUAUCGGUAUCCUUAAUAGGGGUUUUAAACAAAAGUAAUGAUUUAAUUAAAUCAAAAUUAAUUAAAAGGAGAAUAAUCGAUCCUUAGCUUAGGUUUUUUGUGAUCGAUUUUUAGGGAGGUUUCCAACCAUGUGUCAGCAAAGCACUGGACCUAUUUUUUUUCCCUUUUCUUUCUUUAUUUUGUUUCAUCACCGAUUCAUCGCAAAUCGACGACGUCUCCUCCGACUUCUCUGUCGAAACCGAGGAUCGAAACCGAGGACGACUCUCUUGGUCCUCACGGAGUCUCGUCCCACUUGCCUCAUCUUCUCCGUCAGAAGAAGUACCCAAAGCCACGACGGACGACGACUCUGUCGGUGUUGACGACGUCUCCUCCGUCUCGCUCACGAUCUCUUCAAUUUGAAGAUAAGUUCCCAACUAUUUAACUUCACCUCAUCCUUUUCAUUUCUAUUUCAACCUUGUCAUUUCAAUAUCUUGAGUUACGAUUACGGUUUGUUAGUUUUGUGGGUAAUUUUAAAGGUUUGGUCUUUGAUCGACAAUUGUAAAGGUUUGGUCUUCUGAUCUGUUCAAGUUGACAGGAAGUUAAGAGUGUCGUGUAACGUGAUCUGAAAUCUCGCUAGAUCAUCUUCUAAUUUGUUCAUGUUGACUUACGACGGUAGUAGGAGAACAAACGUGUAUUGCUUCCUAUUGACGGUGUUGAUAUUGUCAUUGGUACACCAGGUCGUUUGAGAGAUCUGAUUGACUCUAAUGAGCUUCGUCUCUCUGAUGUUUCCUUUGUGGUAUUGGAUGAAGCAGAUCGAAUGCUUGAUAUGGGUUUCGAGGAACCAGUCCGGUUUAUACUCAGCAAGACGAAUAAAG